Molecule: ribosomal RNA, 253 nt
Filed under: uncultured bacterium
Lineage: Bacteria
Description: partial 16S ribosomal RNA
Rfam family: Bacterial small subunit ribosomal RNA
Source: RNAcentral
UACGUAGGGGGCGAGCGUUGUCCGGAAUUAUUGGGCGUAAAGAGCGUGUAGGCGGCUUGAUAAGUCGGCUGUGAAAGUCAAGGGCUCAACCCUUGAAUGCCGGCGGAUACUGCCGGGCUAGAGUCCGGAAGAGGCGAGUGGAAUUCCUGGUGUAGCGGUGAAAUGCGCAGAUAUCAGGAGGAACACCAAUGGCGAAGGCAGCUCGCUGGGACGGUACUGACGCUGAGACGCGAAAGCGUGGGGAGCAAACAGG